RNAcentral lists this transfer RNA (89 nucleotides) under bacterium. RNAcentral's name for it is "tRNA-Ser". It matches the Rfam family "tRNA". Rfam says of the family: Transfer RNA (tRNA) molecules are approximately 80 nucleotides in length. Their secondary structure includes four short double-helical elements and three loops (D, anti-codon, and T loops). Further hydrogen bonds mediate the characteristic L-shaped molecular structure. tRNAs have two regions of fundamental functional importance: the anti-codon, which is responsible for specific mRNA codon recognition, and the 3' end, to which the tRNAs corresponding amino acid is attached (by aminoacyl-tRNA synthetases). tRNAs cope with the degeneracy of the genetic code in two manners: having more than one tRNA (with a specific anti-codon) for a particular amino acid; and 'wobble' base-pairing, i.e. permitting non-standard base-pairing at the 3rd anti-codon position. The record is from RNAcentral.
GGAGGGGUCGCAUAGUUGGUCUAGUGCACCUGUCUUGAAAACAGGAGUGCCGCAAGGUACCGUGGGUUCGAAUCCCACCCCCUCCGCCA